RNAcentral lists this ribosomal RNA (494 nucleotides) under uncultured bacterium. Its description in RNAcentral is "partial 16S ribosomal RNA". It matches the Rfam family "Bacterial small subunit ribosomal RNA", at positions 28 to 507 of the family's 1533-position model. The record is from RNAcentral.
GACGAACGCUGGCGGCGUGCCUAAUACAUGCAAGUAGAACGCUGAAGGAGGAGCUUGCUUCUCUGGAUGAGUUGCGAACGGGUGAGUAACGCGUAGGUAACCUGCCUGGUAGCGGGGGAUAACUAUUGGAAACGAUAGCUAAUACCGCAUAAGAGUAGAUGUUGCAUGACAUUUGCUUAAAAGGUGCAAUUGCAUCACUACCAGAUGGACCUGCGUUGUAUUAGCUAGUUGGUGGGGUAACGGCUUACCAAGGCGACGAUACAUAGCCGACCUGAGAGGGUGACCGCCACACUGGGACUGAGACACGGCCCAGACUCCUACGGGAGGCAGCAGUAGGGAAUCUUCGGCAAUGGACGGAUGUCUGACCGAGCAACGCCGCGUGAGUGAAGAAGGUUUUCGGAUCGUAAAGCUCUGUUGUAAGAGAAGAACGAGUGUGAGAGUGGAAAGUUCACACUGUGACGGUAUCUUACCAGAAAGGGACGGCUAACUACGUG